This 29-nucleotide non-coding RNA is filed under the name Mus musculus (house mouse). Lineage: Eukaryota; Metazoa; Chordata; Mammalia; Rodentia; Muridae. The record is from RNAcentral.
UGGAUUCAGGAAGCCGGGUUCAUUCACUG